UCNUACGGGAGGCAGCAGUGGGGAAUAUUGGACAAUGGGCGGAAGCCUGAUCCAGCAACGCCGCGUGAGGGAUGACGGCCUUCGGGUUGUAAACCUCUUUCAGCACCGACGAAGCGCAAGUGACGGUAGGUGCAGAAGAAGGACCGGCCAACUACGUGCCAGCAGCCGCGGUAAUACGUAGGGUCCGAGCGUUGUCCGGAAUUAUUGGGCGUAAAGGGCUCGUAGGCGGUUUGUCGCGUCGGGAGUGAAAACGCCGGGCUUAACUCGGUGCUUGCUUUCGAUACGGGCAGACUGGAGGUAUGCAGGGGAGAACGGAAUUCCUGGUGUAGCGGUGAAAUGCGCAGAUAUCAGGAGGAACACCGGUGGCGAAGGCGGUUCUCUGGGCAUUACCUGACGCUGAGGAGCGAAAGUGUGGGGAGCGAACAGGAUUAGAUACCCUGGUAGUCCACACCGUAAACGUUGGGCGCUAGGUGUGGGAUCCAUUCCACGGGUUCCGUGCCGUAGCUAACGCAUUAAGCGCCCCGCCUGGGGAGUACGGCCGCAAGGCUAAAACUCAAAGGAAUUGACGGGGGCCCGCACAAGCGGCGGAGCAUGCGGAUUAAUUCGAUGCAACGCGAAGAACCUUAC
This 627-nucleotide ribosomal RNA is filed under the name uncultured Actinomycetes bacterium. RNAcentral describes it as "bacterial SSU rRNA". It matches the Rfam family "Bacterial small subunit ribosomal RNA", at positions 337 to 974 of the family's 1533-position model. The record is from RNAcentral. Lineage: Bacteria; Bacillati; Actinomycetota; Actinomycetes.